Molecule: ribosomal RNA, 492 nt
Filed under: uncultured bacterium
Lineage: Bacteria
Description: bacterial SSU rRNA
Rfam family: Bacterial small subunit ribosomal RNA
Source: RNAcentral
CCUGGCUCAGAUUGAACGCUGGCGGCAUGCCUUACACAUGCAAGUCGAACGGCAGCGGACCUUCGGGUGCCGGCGAGUGGCGAACGGGUGAGUAAUAUAUCGGAACGUACCUUUCAGUGGGGGAUAACGUAGCGAAAGUUACGCUAAUACCGCAUAUUCUGUGAGCAGGAAAGCAGGGGAUCGCAAGACCUUGCGCUGAUUGAGCGGCCGAUAUCAGAUUAGCUAGUUGGUGAGGUAAAGGCUCACCAAGGCGACGAUCUGUANCGGGUCUGAGAGGAUGAUCCGCCACACUGGAACUGAGACACGGUCCAGACUCCUACGGGAGGCAGCAGUGGGGAAUUUUGGACAAUGGGCGCAAGCCUGAUCCAGCCAUGCCGCGUGAGUGAAGAAGGCCUUCGGGUUGUAAAGCUCUUUCGGCCGGGAAGAAAUCGCACGGGUUAAUACCCUGUGUGGAUGACGGUACCGGAAUAAGAAGCACCGGCUAACUACGUG